AUUCCAUGAUGAAGGCACUUUUGUAUAACUCUUUGUACCUUUCCCAUGCCUCAUACAAGGACUCAUCAUCCAUUUGUUAGAAGGUAGUUAUCUCAUUCCUCAACUU
Molecule: small nucleolar RNA, 106 nt
Organism: Gossypium raimondii (Peruvian cotton)
Lineage: Eukaryota; Viridiplantae; Streptophyta; Magnoliopsida; Malvales; Malvaceae
Rfam family: Plant small nucleolar RNA R71
About the family: R71 is a member of the C/D box family of snoRNAs containing the C (UGAUGA) and D (CUGA) box motifs. Multiple nearly identical copies of this snoRNA have been identified in Arabidopsis, and it is thought to function as a 2'-O-ribose methylation guide for 18S ribosomal RNA.
Source: Rfam